GACGUAGGAUGCGAGCGUUGUUCGGAAUUAUUGGGCGUAAAGCGUGCGUAGGCGGCUACUUAAGUCUGGUGUUAAAGCUAGGGGCUCAACCCCUGUGUUGCACUGGAAACUGGGUAGCUUGAGUGCGGUAGGGGAAGGUGGAAUUCCGAGUGUAGCGGUGAAAUGCGUAGAUAUUCGGAAGAACACCGGUGGCGAAGGCGACCUUCUGGGCCGCCACUGACGCUGAGGCACGAAAGCGUGGGGAGCAAACGGGAUUAGAUACCCCGGUAGUCCACGCUGUAAACGAUGAUCACUAGGUGUUGCGGGUAUCGACCCCCGCAGUGCCGUAGCUAACGCGUUAAGUGAUCCGCCUGGGGAGUACGGUCGCAAGACUGAA
This 376-nucleotide ribosomal RNA is filed under the name uncultured bacterium. RNAcentral describes it as "bacterial SSU rRNA". It matches the Rfam family "Bacterial small subunit ribosomal RNA", at positions 524 to 898 of the family's 1533-position model. The record is from RNAcentral.